GCCUAACACAUGCAAGUCGAGCGCCGUAGCAAUACGGAGCGGCAGACGGGAGAGUAACACGUGGGAACGUACCCUUUGGUUCGGAACAACCCAGGGAAACUUGGGCUAAUACCGGAUAAGCCCUUACGGGGAAAGAUUUAUCGCCGAAGGAUCGGCCCGCGUCUGAUUAGCUAGUUGGUGGGGUAAUGGCCCACCAAGGCGACGAUCAGUAGCUGGUCUGAGAGGAUGAUCAGCCUCACUGGGACUGAGACACGGCCCAGACUCCUACGGGAGGCAGCAGUGGGGAAUAUUGGACAAUGGGCGCAAGCCUGAUCCAGCCAUGCCGCGUGGGUGAUGAAGGCCUUAGGGUUGUAAAGCCCUUUCGGCGGGGAAGAUAAUGACGGUACCCGCAGAAGAAGCCCCGGCUAACUUCGUGCCAGCAGCCGCGGUAAUAC
This 434-nucleotide ribosomal RNA is filed under the name uncultured bacterium. RNAcentral describes it as "bacterial SSU rRNA". It matches the Rfam family "Bacterial small subunit ribosomal RNA", at positions 46 to 526 of the family's 1533-position model. The record is from RNAcentral.